RNAcentral lists this long non-coding RNA (1061 nucleotides) under Nicotiana benthamiana. RNAcentral describes it as "long non-coding RNA (NBEN_LNC025897)". Lineage: Eukaryota; Viridiplantae; Streptophyta; Magnoliopsida; Solanales; Solanaceae. The record is from RNAcentral.
AACCUAUAAAAGACCCUAAGACCUAUAUACCUAAGGGGUCGUCCCUUUGAAAGACUAUGAUUGAUUGGCGCCGGACUCCGACUCCGAUCACCAUUUGCAUUUCUAAGCCAUCGCCGGACUACAAGUGUUACUAAGUAUACUUAGUUGGGUUUCAAAAACAUUUAGGCUGAACUCUCAGUAACUUUUGAUACUUCAACUUAGUUACUCUAUUUUGGCAUUUUCCACAUAAAACAAUUAUUCUUGGCUUUUGCUACUAUUGAUCUAUUUUUUAGAUCUCAUUCAAUUGAGCUACGCCCUUGGUAUUUCAUCUUCUGGGUUUAAUUUGCAGAAAAUCUUUGCUCAAUCAGAAGCAUUGAAGUUAGGGUUUCGUGGAUCCAUCGGCAAAGUUCUUUUUAGAGAGCGUUGAGCAAUAUCGAAGUUUGCCGUCAUGUCGCAACAUUGGCUUUUCAUUCCGGUCACGGGGAAACGAAAGAAAACAGUGUUGGUUUCCGAAACGGAGUUAAGUUGAAAUGAGUGCUUGAUUGUUGGAGUUGCCAUCCGAGGCGCGGUCCGUUGGUUUGGAGCGAGUUGAAUUUGUUGUUUUGAACCCCAUUCAUGACUGCGUUAUUCUGUCCAUAGACGACUCAAAAUUAUAUCAAUUCAGGUCCAUAUCUUUUAUCCCAUUUAUUAAUCCAUUGAUACAGUUUAUGUUCCCGUAAGUUCGAACUUGCAUUUUAAUUCUUGGUUAGCUCCACUAUUACCUUGUUUAGUUUGGGUUGGGGAAAUAAUCCAUAAAAAUUGGAAUUGGCUUUCGAUGAUAAAUUUGCAUCAAGCUUAAUAUCAUUUUGUUUUAUUCUUCUUAUUUUAAUCGCUAGGAGCAUGUUUAGGCUGACUAUACUUGGGUACGCAAACUUAGGGAUUUUGUCAAUUUUGAGGUGAGAGGUCGCUCCCUUAGUUAAAUUUAUCCGGAGAAUGCCCCGAAGGAUUUGUACAUAUUUUAUUCUGGGGAAUGUCUCGUAGUAUUUUGUAAUUGGAGGAUGUGACGAAUAUCGUAGAGGAAGUAGAGUAGGAUAAUUUAGGAC